GGGGCUGACUGGUUUUGACAGCAAGGAUGAUGGAUUUGUAAGCAUGCCGGGGAAUGCAGAUUGUCCCGUAAAAACGUUCUGUGAAACUAUAAUUGGCGAAAAUAAUUUUGCUCUCGCUGCGUAAUCGAAGUUUAGUAGAUAGCGCUUCAUCGCCGGCCCAGGGCUGGUGACGAGACACUCCGCGGAUGGAUCUGCCUGAUUCCGGUUCGGUUCUGGGGUGCUCGCAAUUUCAGGCUGCAUGCCGUGAUUCCCUGACACGGCAUUAAGACUAAGGGAUACGGUGAAACUUGGGUGACUGUUUCCGGGUUUCUCCCGACAACCAAUAAUAGUCUAAGCAUGUAGAAAGCACUUUUGUCACUUGUUUGGACGCGGGUUCGACUCCCGCCAGCUCCACUU
RNAcentral lists this transfer-messenger RNA (396 nucleotides) under Bacteroidales. RNAcentral's name for it is "BM520 sp009930445 Standard tmRNA". It matches the Rfam family "transfer-messenger RNA". From Rfam's summary of the family: Bacterial tmRNA, also known as 10Sa RNA or SsrA, is named for its dual tRNA and mRNA-like properties. Its role is to liberate the mRNA from a stalled ribosome. To accomplish this part of the tmRNA is used as a reading frame that ends in a translation stop signal. Lineage: Bacteria; Pseudomonadati; Bacteroidota; Bacteroidia. RNAcentral also lists the same sequence under 1 other name. The record is from RNAcentral.